RNAcentral lists this ribosomal RNA (128 nucleotides) under Ionomidotis sp. Its description in RNAcentral is "partial large subunit ribosomal RNA". The record is from RNAcentral. Lineage: Eukaryota; Fungi; Ascomycota; Leotiomycetes; Helotiales; Cordieritidaceae.
CGGCAACAGCUCAAAUUUGAAAUCUGGCUCCGUGCGGAGUCCGAGUUGUAAUUUGCAGAAGAUGCUUCGGGUGCGGCGCCGGUCCAAGUUCCUUGGAACAGGACGUCGCAGAGGGUGAGAAUCCCGUA